ACAAGUAGGAAUUUAAUUUUGGUUCCGAUUGAACGUUUUUCAGUAGUUUCAAGACAUGCAAAUCGUUUGUAUAUGGUUAAGAAGUUUAAAGUUAAAAACUAAAACAAUUUAAAUAUACAAGGUGUAGGGGUGAGUAUAGUAAAUAAGAUACCCUCGUAAUCUUCCUAAAUAGAAGAUAGUUAAACAAAGGUAAACUUUAAAUUAAGAUUUGCUGCAAGUUUUUUUGCAGGGGUCUAACAAAGGAAAUUUUCCGUUACAAGGAUUCGAUUUACAUUUGAUUAGGUAGUUGGCAGAGUAAAAGCCUCCCAAGCCUACGAUCAAUAGUCAAGUUUGACAGAACUAAUGACCACAUUGGGAAUGAGAUCUCCCAAGUAGCGUUUUGCUACCAGCAGUCAAGAAUAUUAGUCAAUGCUCGCAAGAGUGAACUAGCUAACUGAAAUCCUUAAUGUGUCAUUGAGGAUAACGUAAGGGAAAAUAAUGAUACUACCUUACUAUUAGUGUCGUCCAAGUGCUCGUGCCAGAAGACUCGGUAAGGCGAGAGACGCAAACGUUAUUCGUCUUGAUCAGGCGUAAAGGGUAAGUAGGCUGCUUUAAGUGUAAAAUUAUAUGUUUACUAUUAUUAACAAUUGUUUAAUAAUAAUGUAAUUAUACCGAUUAAAGCUAGAAUCUAAAGGAGGUUAAAACAAUACUCAAGGUAGGUGUACCAACCGUAGAUAAUGAGCAGAGUGUUAACGGCGAAGGCAUUUUUCCAAUAAAGAUUGACGCUGAGGAACGAAAGUGAGGACAGAAAAAAGGAUUAGAGACCCUUGUAUCCCUCACUGUCAACGAUGAAUGGUAGUUACUAGGAAAGAAAUAAUCUAGAGACGAUGUUAACACGUAAACCAUUCCGCCUUGUGAGUACGACUGCAAAGUUGAAAACAAAAAAAUUAGUCGGUUUCGGAGCAAACGAAGUGAAGCAUGUUAUUUAAUGCGAUAAUCCGCGUAAAACCUUACCAGUUCUUGUAUAAAAACUUUUAGUUAUUAAUUUAACACGUUUCCUUUCUCAAAGGUAAAAGGGGUAACUUUGUCAAUUAUUCUACCUGUGUUACACGGGCUAGCAAAUAGUUACAGGUACUUAAUACAGGUGUUGCAUGGCUGUCUUCAGUCCGUAUUGUGAAAAGUUAGGUUAAAUCCGUUAACGGACGCAAUCCCUAGUCUUAAUUUAAACUUAAGGCUUUAUAACUUUGAUAAGAAGUUAUUUGGGGCUAAGACAAGCCCUUAUGGCCCUCAUGAACUGGGCUAUAGACGUGCUAUAAAGACUUUCACAAAGUGAAGCAAAACUUCUCUUUUUAAAGAGGUAAAGGAUAAGCUAAUCAUUAAAAAAAGUCAAAAUAAUAAAUUAAUGUUACGGAUUGUCACCUGAAACUUGGUGGCAUGAAGGAGGAAUUUCGAGUAAUCGUUGAUCAUUAGGCGCAACGGUGAAGCUUAAAUCCGGGAUGAACUAACCGUCUGUCGCUGGGAAGAAGCUUAUUUUGAUGGAAAAUAUGUUGAAGUAAUAAAUUUAAUAUAGUGCGCUGCACACCCCUACCCCAAAGGGGCUUGCGAUGGUUUUAUAUACAAAUAUAUAAAAGUAGUUAAUAUAUUAAUUGUUAUUAGACUUAUUUAAGUCAUUUGAGUAACAUCUCAAAAGUCAUAGCAAGGUAGUUGUACUGGAAGGUGCAGCUGGAAAUUUAAUAAA
RNAcentral lists this ribosomal RNA (1717 nucleotides) under Pyrrhoderma lamaoense. Its description in RNAcentral is "small subunit ribosomal RNA". It matches the Rfam family "Bacterial small subunit ribosomal RNA". The record is from RNAcentral. Lineage: Eukaryota; Fungi; Basidiomycota; Agaricomycetes; Hymenochaetales; Hymenochaetaceae.